GAUGAACGCUGGCGGCGUGCCUAAUACAUGCAAGUCGAGCGAACAGACGAGGAGCUUGCUCCUCUGACGUUAGCGGCGGACGGGUGAGUAACACGUGGAUAACCUACCUAUAAGACUGGGAUAACUUCGGGAAACCGGAGCUAAUACCGGAUACAUGUUGAACCGCAUGGUUCAACAGUGAAAGACGGUCUUGCUGUCACUUAUAGAUGGAUCCGCGCCGCAUUAGCUAGUUGGUAAGGUAACGGCUUACCAAGGCAACGAUGCGUAGCCGACCUGAGAGGGUGAUCGGCCACACUGGAACUGAGACACGGUCCAGACUCCUACGGGAGGCAGCAGUAGGGAAUCUUCCGCAAUGGGCGAAAGCCUGACGGAGCAACGCCGCGUGAGUGAUGAAGGUCUUCGGAUCGUAAAACUCUGUUAUUAGGGAAGAACAAAUGUGUAAGUAACUAUGCACGUCUUGACGGUACCUAAUCAGAAAGCCACGGCUAACUACGUG
This 496-nucleotide ribosomal RNA is filed under the name uncultured bacterium. RNAcentral's name for it is "partial 16S ribosomal RNA". It matches the Rfam family "Bacterial small subunit ribosomal RNA", at positions 28 to 507 of the family's 1533-position model. The record is from RNAcentral.